RNAcentral lists this ribosomal RNA (460 nucleotides) under uncultured bacterium. Its description in RNAcentral is "partial 16S ribosomal RNA". It matches the Rfam family "Bacterial small subunit ribosomal RNA", at positions 338 to 795 of the family's 1533-position model. The record is from RNAcentral.
CCUACGGGAGGCAGCAGUGAGGAAUAUUGGUCAAUGGGCGCGAGCCUGAACCAGCCAAGUCGCGUGAGGGAGGACGGCCCUACGGGUUGUAAACCUCUUUUGCCGGGGAGCAACGUGCGCCACGUGUGGCGCCACUGAGAGUACCCGGAGAAAAAGCAUCGGCUAACCCCGUGCCAGCAGCCGCGGUAAUACGGGGGAUGCGAGCGUUAUCCGGAUUUAUUGGGUUUAAAGGGUGAGUAGGCGGAUCGUUAAGUCAGUGGGCAAAUGGAGGGGCCCACCCCCUUCCCGCCAUUGAAACUGGCGUUCUUGAGUGGAAGAGAAGUAUGCGGAAUGCGUGGUGUAGCGGUGAAAUGCAUAGAUAUCACGCAGAACCCCGAUUGCGAAGGCAGCAUGCCGGCUUCCGACUGACGCUGAAGCACGAAAGCGUGGGGAUCGAACAGGAUUAGAUACCCCUGUAGUC